UCAUCAUGCCCCUUAUGACCUGGGCUACAAACGUGAUACAAUGGCUGAAACAAAGGGCAGCGAAGCAGUGAUGUGGAGCGAACCCAAAAAGCAGUCUCAGUUCGGAUUGAAGUCUGCAACUCGACUUCAUGAAGUCGGAAUCGCUAGUAAUCGCGGAUCAGAACGCCGCGGUGAAUACGUUCUCCGGGGUUU
This 192-nucleotide ribosomal RNA is filed under the name uncultured Acholeplasma sp. RNAcentral describes it as "partial 16S ribosomal RNA". It matches the Rfam family "Bacterial small subunit ribosomal RNA", at positions 1190 to 1382 of the family's 1533-position model. Lineage: Bacteria; Bacillati; Mycoplasmatota; Mollicutes; Acholeplasmatales; Acholeplasmataceae. The record is from RNAcentral.